GUACUGUUGAAGAGUCCCAAACAAGGACAAAACAGCUGUCCAGUAC
Non-coding RNA from Trichobilharzia regenti, 46 nucleotides. The record is from Rfam. NCBI's taxonomy places the organism in Eukaryota, Metazoa, Platyhelminthes, Trematoda, Strigeidida, Schistosomatidae.